CUGGGAUGUAAUUCAGCCAUGAGCCUGCUCCGUAGAGGUCCUUUUCUGGAAAGACACUGCCAACUGCGUCGUAAGCCCUGGAAACGUUCCUGCCUGCAUCGACAGCAGAGCAUGAAGCUCUUGAUUCAUGGCCAGUCACAGCCCUGUCUGAUAGGGUUGGCCUGACUCUUCCAUGGUGUUUUCCAUCUCCUCUCUGAUGAGCACAUUCUGCUCAGGAAGAAGUCACAGGAGGGCUGCUCAACUCCCCUGUCCUUGGCUGGCUGAGCUGGGCACAAACAGGAGCUCACCCAUGACUGUUGCUCUCCAGCAGUGCUCAGCAGCUCC
Molecule: long non-coding RNA, 324 nt
Filed under: Cyanistes caeruleus (blue tit)
Lineage: Eukaryota; Metazoa; Chordata; Aves; Passeriformes; Paridae
Description: lncRNA (ENSCCEG00000008174.1)
Source: RNAcentral